GCGAAGUGCGGGAGGCGGGCGGGGGUAUGUCGUGGGGGGCAGGUGUGGGCCGGAUUGAGUGGGCGUGAGGCGCGCGUCGGCGGCCAGGGGGGUGUGCUGUGAAAACUCGGGGCUCAACCACGAGCGGUCGGCGGAAACCCCCUGGCUAGAGUCCGGAAGAGGAGAGUGGAAUUCCCGGUGUAGCGGUGAAAUGCGCAGAUAUCGGGAGGAACACCCGUGGCGAAGGCGGCUCUCUGGGACGGUACUGACGCUGAGACGCGAAAGCGUGGGGAGCGAACAGGAUUAGAUACCCGUGUAGUC
RNAcentral lists this ribosomal RNA (300 nucleotides) under uncultured Aestuariibacter sp. RNAcentral's name for it is "bacterial SSU rRNA". The stretch from base 52 to 300 matches the Rfam family "Bacterial small subunit ribosomal RNA", at positions 547 to 795 of the family's 1533-position model. Lineage: Bacteria; Pseudomonadati; Pseudomonadota; Gammaproteobacteria; Alteromonadales; Alteromonadaceae. The record is from RNAcentral.